AUUGAACGCUGGCGGCAGGCCUAACACAUGCAAGUCGAACGAGUGGCGGACGGGUGAGUAAUGUCUGGGAAACUGCCCGAUGGAGGGGGAUAACUACUGGAAACGGUAGCUAAUACCGCAUACCAUCGGAUGUGCCCAGAUGGGAUUAGCUAGUAGGUGGGGUAACGGAUCACCUAGGCGACGAUCCCUAGCUGGUCUGAGAGGAUGACCAGCCCCACUGGAACUGAGACAAGGUCAAGACUCCUACGGGAGGGAGCAGUGGGGAAUAUUGGCCAAGGGGCGCAAGCCUGAUGAAGCCAUGCCGCGUGUAUGAAGAAGGCCUUCGGGUUGUAAAGUACUUUCAGCGAGGAGGCGUUACUCGCAGAAGAAGCACCGGCCAACCCCGUGCCAGCAGCCGCGGUAAUAC
RNAcentral lists this ribosomal RNA (406 nucleotides) under uncultured bacterium. RNAcentral describes it as "partial 16S ribosomal RNA". It matches the Rfam family "Bacterial small subunit ribosomal RNA", at positions 30 to 526 of the family's 1533-position model. The record is from RNAcentral.